CCUCCCAAGGCUCGCGGAAGGAUGUUUCAGUUAACCUCGGAUGAAGCUAAAGCUAGCCCGGACGUGGUUUCAGGCACAAAGAAGGAAGAAGGCGCGAGUCACUCAAAGGCACAAUCAUCACAAGAUCGCGGUAAAUCUCUUGCUUGAAUGCAGCGCGCCUGAACCGAACACACACACGAAACGUCGAAUCUAAGCGCUUCCGGUCCAAGUUGUUUGUUUGAUGGGUUAACUUACCAUUUUGAUUAGUAAAUGUUAUUUUGUAUGUGUCUAGUUUGUUAGU
Long non-coding RNA from Helianthus annuus (common sunflower), 280 nucleotides. RefSeq lists it as uncharacterized. The transcript has 3 exons. NCBI's taxonomy places the organism in Eukaryota, Viridiplantae, Streptophyta, Magnoliopsida, Asterales, Asteraceae. The record is from RefSeq and is a predicted model, not a curated record.